ACUGGAAGGUUAGCUUAGAAGCAGCUAUCCUUUAAAGAGUGCGUAACAGCUCACCAGUCGAGAUUCAGGGCCCCGAAAAUGGACGGGGCUAAGCCGAUUACCGAUACCACGGAGCACCGCAAGGUGAUCUAGUAGGGAGGCGCUCUGCGUGGGCAGAAGCAUCUGCGUGAGCAGGUGUGGACCGCGUAGAGACGAAAAUCCUGGUAGCAGUAGCAGCAAAAUCGGGUGAGAAUCCCGAUCGCCGUAAGGGCCAGGGUUCCUCGGCAAUGUUCGUCAGCCGAGGGUCAGUCGGUCCUAAGACGUACCUUAAUCGGAGUACGCCAAAUGGGAAACAGGUUAAUAUUCCUGUACCUUUCAACAUUAAAACUGACGCUUCCGGAUAUGUCAAGCGUCCUUGCCUGGGCGUUCAAGCGUGCAAGCCUGCGGAGAGCCGUAAUGGCGAGAAACAGGCGAAAGCGUGAUGACGUAAGUUGGCAAAUUCCAGGAGCCCGUGAAAAGGGAGUUGAAAGUCCGUACCGAGAUCCAACACUGGUGCCCCAAGCUGAGAAGGCUAAGGCGUUUCGGCAUAUGCUAGCUAAGGGAAUUCGGCAAAUUGGCCAUGUAACUUCGGGAUAAGUGGUGCCUGCUUUGCAAAAAGCAGGUCGCAGCGACGAGGGGACUCUAACUGUCUAAUAACAACAUAGGUGAUUGCGAAUCCGUAAGGACUAGUACAAUCACUGAAUCCUGCCCAGUGCAGGUACCUGAAAACCCGGUUCAACGGGAAGAAGGGCCUGUCAACGGCGGGGGUAACUAUGACCCUCUUAAGGUAGCGUAGUACCUUGCCGCUUAAUUGGCGGCUUGCAUGAAUGGAACAAUGAGAGUCUCACUGUCCCUAGCUGGUACCCGGUGAACCUUACAUUCCAGUGCAGAGUCUGGAGACCCCUAAUGGGAAGUGAAGACCCCGUGGAGCUUUACUGCAGCCUGCCGUUGGGCUGUGGUUCUGAUUGUAGAGCAUAGGUAGGAGACGUCGAAGCUCGGGCGCCAGUCCGAGUGGAGUCGCCCUUGGAAUACUACCCUUUCGGAGCUACCGCCCUAACUCUGAGAAGAGGACCUCGGUAGGUGGGCAGUUUGGGUGGGGCGCCACGCCCUUGAAAAGAUAUCAAGGGCGCCCUAAGGUUGACUCAGUUGGGUCGGAAACCCAACAAAGAGUGUAAAGGCAUAAGUCAGCCUGAUGUUACCUCGCAUAGCAAGAGGUGAUAAGACGAAAGUCGGGCUUAGCGAACCUCUCAGCUCUCUUGGUGAGAGCGUUAGAUGACAGAAAAGCUACCCCGGGGAUAACAGAGUCGUCACCGGCAAGAGCACAUAUCGACCCGGUGGCUUGCUACCUCGAUGUCGGUUCUUUCCAUCCUGGCCGUGCAGCAGCGGCCAAGGGUGAGGUUGUUCGCCUAUUAAAGGAGAUCGUGAGCUGGGUUUAGACCGUCGUGAGACAGGUCGGUUACUAUCUAUUAGGGGUGUUUUGUGGUCUGAGGGUAAGCUGGUUUUAGUACGAGAGGAACAAGCCAGCGGCGCCACUGGUCGAUCGGUUGUCUGGCAAGGCACUGCCGAGCAGCUACGCGCUAACGGAUAAGGGCUGAAAGCAUCUAAGCCCGAAGCUGUGCCUGAAAAGAGACCACUCUGAGGACCCUCGUAAAAGACGAGUUUGAUAGAGUCGGGGUGUACGCACCGAGGCAACGAGGUGUUCAGCCCGCGACUACUAAAAGUCCGCUCAGCAGUC
Molecule: ribosomal RNA, 1753 nt
Filed under: activated sludge metagenome
Description: bacterial LSU rRNA
Rfam family: Archaeal large subunit ribosomal RNA
Source: RNAcentral